This is a long non-coding RNA of Wasmannia auropunctata (little fire ant), 135 nucleotides long. RefSeq lists it as uncharacterized. The record is from RefSeq and is a predicted model, not a curated record. The transcript is spliced from 2 exons. Lineage: Eukaryota; Metazoa; Arthropoda; Insecta; Hymenoptera; Formicidae.
CCAGAAUUUUUUGGUAAUCGAGAUCCGUGCAGGGAAAAAACGGAGCUACAACAAGGCUUCAAAGUCUCGAUUUCUUUUCCUCUGAAAGCAACAACGAAGGAUGGCUAUAAAAUAAUAUAUGCAACACUACUAGAA